Molecule: unclassified non-coding RNA, 1984 nt
Organism: Drosophila navojoa
Lineage: Eukaryota; Metazoa; Arthropoda; Insecta; Diptera; Drosophilidae
Source: RefSeq, a predicted model, not a curated record
AACAUGUGUCAGCAGCAGCAGCAGCUACAGCAGCAACAACUGCCUCGACAUCUGCUCGAGCGCUUCAAGUGCUAAGAGACUUUCAGCCAAGCACCGAAGUUCGUUGGACUAAAGCAGCAUAAGAAGAAGAGGAAGAAGAAGCUACCUCAAGCAGAAGAAGAAGAAGAGCCGGAAGAAGUGGAGAAUUAGACACUGCGAUUGCAGCUCGUUCCCGUCAAUCCCCAAGGUAUUUCCAGAAUCUAACUGCGGAUACUUGAAGGCUUAACACAUACCAGCAUACCAGCACCCACCCAGACACCCACACACCCACACACACACACACACAUAUACGCGCACGCUUGCGUACGCACACUCAUACGCAGAUUGAUAGUCGUAUGGAACGAAUCGUGAGAAAUCGUCAGAGCAAAACUAUGAUAACACGACUCUACAACACCGAGGAGGAUCCCGCCUAUUGCUCCGUCAUCUGGGGCGCGAAUCUGACCAGCAGCAGCGACCUCGUCCUGGGCACCGCCACCAAUGCCACCCACAUUUACGCUAACGACUUGCGAGACGACCUAUAUGCGGAUGUGGAGGAUCCGCGCACCGAAGCGCUACGCGAAUACUGCUAUGGCCUGAUGCUGCCCAUCAUCUGCGCCCUGGGCAUCAUUGGCAACGUGCUCAACCUAAUUGUCCUGACCCGACGCAAUAUGCGCGGCACCGCCUACAUCUACAUGCGAGCCUACUCGACGGCCGCACUGCUUGCCAUUGUCUUUGCCAUACCCUUUGGCAUACGCAUGCUGGUGCACAAGGAUCGCGGCCAGUGGGAGGAGUUUGGACCGGCCUUCUAUACGGCCCACUUGGAGCUUUUUCUCGGUAACGGCUGUCUGGGUGUGGGCGUCAUGAUGCUAUUGGUGCUGACCAUCGAGCGUUAUGUCUCCGUGUGUCAUCCGGGUUUCACGCGACCCGUGAUGGGUCCGCCAGGCGUGGUCGUCUUCAUCACCUGCUUGGUGACCUUCGUCAUCUACUUGCCGAGCAUCUUUCGCGGCGAGCUCAUCAAGUGCAUGCUGACCUCGAACAACGUGUACGUGUAUCUCCGGCGGGACAACAACAUCUACCAGCGCACCAUCUUCUACUCGGUGUACAAGAUAAUGCUCGAGGUGAUCUUCAAGCUCGUGCCGACCGUCGUGAUCGCUGGCCUCAAUUUGCGCAUCAUGCUCGUCUAUCGCCGGACCUGCGAGCGCCGCCGUCAGAUGGUACUGUCGCGCUCGACCUAUGUGAAGGACGACGAUCCGCGCAAGUUUGCCGAGGAGCGACGGCUGUUCCUGCUGCUCGGCAGCACCUCGAUCCUGUUCCUGCUCUGCGUCUCGCCCAUGGCCAUAUUGCACAUGACCAUCGCCUCGGAGGUGCUGCCCAGCUUUCCGUUUCAGGUGUUCCGGGCACUGGCCAACCUGCUAGAGCUGAUCAACUACUCGAUUACGUUCUACAUCUACUGCCUGUUCAGCGAGGACUUUCGCAACACGCUGAUGCGCACCAUCAAGUGGCCGUGGCUGAAGGGCAAGCUGUGCCACCAGGUGGAUGAGGUGAGUGCCACACCGCCAGCAACGGCUACAGCAGCGGUUUGUAAUCCAGUUUGCCCGACAACUCUUCACACAGACCACACAGGCCAUCAUGGGUGUUCCAAUGGUGCGAUUCGAAAAGAUUACAGACUAUAAACCAGACAGACCGAUCAAGACAAGCAAGUUUGAGUUUGAAGUUUAGAUUGAGGAAUUUCCCAAAGAGAGGAAGAAGAAGAAGUAAUGCAUAUGAAGCACUCGACUAAUAUAUAUAAUCGACGAAAAUUAUUGGUGUUGUUCCAUAUUGAUGGUAGAAAAUGAAUUUUCAAGGAAACAUUUAAGAAAAUAUACAAAAUUACGGAUAAGAAAAUACAAAUAUGAAAAUCAAUAUUCAAUACAGGUUAUAAAAUUGCAAACCAAAGAAUUUAGAUAGUUGAAGUGGAAGAGGGAGA